Molecule: ribosomal RNA, 770 nt
Filed under: Scoliciosporum intrusum
Lineage: Eukaryota; Fungi; Ascomycota; Lecanoromycetes; Lecanorales; Lecanoraceae
Description: SSU rRNA
Rfam family: Bacterial small subunit ribosomal RNA
Source: RNAcentral
GCCUAACGGCUGAACCAGCAACUUGGAGGAAUGUAUGUUUGCAUCAGGUGCAAAGUCGAUUACGUUGAUUAAAAUUCCAGGCAGAAUUAUGAUAAUGACAUUGUCUGCCUGAAUGUCUUGACCAAAUUACGUGCCAGCAGUCGCGGUAAUACGUAGAAGACUAGUGUUAUUCAUCUUUAAUAGGUUUAAAGGGUACCUAGACGGCAAAUCAAGCCUUUCGGGACUAUCUUGCUAGAGUUACUUAUGAGGGGGCAUUAAUGUACUAAUGGUGUAGAGAUGAAAUUUUGUAAUACCUUUUCUUGAAAGGAAGUGAUGGCACAGGUAUAGGCGAAAGCAUCCCCUUAUGUGAUAGCUUUGUGUAGCGAACAGGAUUAGAUACCCUAGUAGUCAAAGCAGAAAAUGAUGAAUGUCAUAGAUUAAUUUAUUCUAUAAAUUAAAGUGUAAACAUUCCACCUCAAGAGUAAUUUGGCAACAUUGGAACUGAAAUCAUUAGACCGUUUCUGAAACCAGUAGUGAAGUAUGUUGUUUAAUUUGAUGAUCCGCAAAAAACCUUACCAUGAAUAUGUACAAGCGUUGCACGGUUGUCUUCAGUUAAUGUCGCGAGACUUUGGUUAGUUCCACCAAAUUAACGUAAGCCCUUACUUUAUUUUUAGAUAAAGUUGUUCCCCGCUAUAUUGGACAUGAUAACAGGGACUAAGACAAAUCAUCAUGGCCUGAAUACUAUAAACCUUACAAAAGGGUGUGAAAUUGUGAAAUUGAGCUAAUCCCCC